Molecule: ribosomal RNA, 253 nt
Filed under: uncultured bacterium
Lineage: Bacteria
Description: partial 16S ribosomal RNA
Rfam family: Bacterial small subunit ribosomal RNA
Source: RNAcentral
UACAGAGGGUGCAAGCGUUGUCCGGAAUUAUUGGGCGUAAAGAGCUCGUAGGCGGCUUGUCACGUCGGGUGUGAAAGCCCGGGGCUUAACCCCGGGUCUGCAUUCGAUACGGGCAGGCUAGAGUGUGGUAGGGGAGAUCGGAAUUCCUGGUGUAGCGGUGAAAUGCGCAGAUAUCAGGAGGAACACCGGUGGCGAAGGCGGAUCUCUGGGCCAUUACUGACGCUGAGGAGCGAAAGCGUGGGGAGCGAACAGG